CACCACACAUGGACUUGAUGGCGGUAAAACAGUUUAGAAUGUAUUUUGGAAGCUACAGAAGCGAAGGAAGUCAAGAACAAGACGAUGUCUACUGCUACUAAAAUAUCAAGACCGAAUUGGAAUUAAGAAAACCGAAGAAUCCGAAGAAAACCCUCCUUAGCGAAUUACAGAAAAGAACCAACAACUAACUUUACCUACGUGUCAUGGUGGGUGCGAGGAUAUGACCCACGAUCAAAGAGGACCAUACUUCCAGACAUCGAAUGCUGAACCGUCGU
Molecule: long non-coding RNA, 275 nt
Organism: Actinia tenebrosa (Australian red waratah sea anemone)
Lineage: Eukaryota; Metazoa; Cnidaria; Anthozoa; Actiniaria; Actiniidae
Source: RefSeq, a predicted model, not a curated record